Long non-coding RNA from Protopterus annectens (West African lungfish), 1776 nucleotides. RefSeq lists it as uncharacterized. The transcript has 2 exons. Lineage: Eukaryota; Metazoa; Chordata; Ceratodontiformes; Protopteridae. The record is from RefSeq and is a predicted model, not a curated record.
GCUUGCAGGAGGUAGCAGAUCAGCUGGAGCUGGAACGAAUAGGGCCGCAACACCAGGCAGGCUCAGACUCCUUAUUAACAGGCAUGGCCUUUUUUAAAAUGAGAGAGAUGUUUUUUGAAGAUCAUAUUGACGAUGCCAAAUACUGUGGACAUUUGUACGGUCUUGGAUCUGGCUCAUCUUAUAUACAGAAUGGCACAGGCAAUGCAUAUGAGGAAGAAGCCAGCAAGCCACAAUCAUGACAUAAAGUGCUUCACUGGGCUACAUGGGCUUGUAUAUAGAUUUUAUCUCUGAUUGAAGAUGUUGGAUAAUACAGAUAUUCCCCCAAACAUUGAGACAUUUUCUUCUCAUCUUUUGUGUUGUAAAUAUAUUUAUGCCCACCAGAUGCUUUGGUCUUGAUACAGAAAAAUGUAUGGGGUAAAUCUGGCCGCUAACCAAAAUUUGAUCUUUGUGAAGACUAGUAUGUUCAACAGAGAGAGGAUUAAUUUAACCAUAGCAGGUGUUCAGUACACCUGUUGAUUUUGACUUCAGAGUGAAAAGUACUGGUAUGCUGAUUACUUGUCCUCAUUUCAUGUGUAGUGCUUAAACAGACAGAAGUUUUAGCUAUUCAGGAUUGUGGACCAUCAGAUUUGCACUUUAUGGAGUGACAGAGAUCCUCUGUUUUAUCUGAAAUGUUCACCACCAAUUGUUCUUAGAUAGAAAGCAUAUAAAUAUUGGUAAUUAUCAAUUGAACCGUUACAGGUUUAUGUUUUCAAAAAUGACUGGCACACUGCAGUACUGGUUGUACAUGUUAAACCAAAAAGCAAAACUACUGAGCCAAUGAUUGUUUCUCAACUGCCUGGCCUUAAAUGUACUGCCCAUCUCAUGCUUCUCUGUUUCUCAGAAUGCUGCUAUAUAUUACUAUCAAAGUGUUGAAACCAGCCUUUCAUCCUUCAAGAAAUCAUCUUUUGUAAUCGUGCUCUUCAAGCAAAAAGGCAUUGUAUUAUUUUCAGAUGGAUUAUAGUAUUUAUAGUACAGUUAGAAUAAUCAACAGUGUAGAGUUCAGCCCCCCCAGCAGUAUUCCUUUUUACCUAGAGUCAUCUUGGUUUUAUUCAGGAUGCAGUAUCUUCUGAAUGUUUUGCACAAACUGAAUAAUUACAGCUCAGUAUUUUGUAGUGAAUUAAUAAAAUAACAGUUCUUCUCAGCCCACAAAGUGCUUUUCAUGGUGGGUUGAUUAUUGCCUGCUGAAUUUAUAUAAAAAAAUAAAACAGUUUGCACUGGUUGCAGACAUGAUAAAAUUCUAAAUGUAUUUAAUACUUCAAUACAUUUCUUGAGUCACCAACAUAUUUUAAGUAACUUAUCCCAAAUUAAAAGUCACAUCAAUGCUGAUUUGUAUGUGUUUUCACUGUUGAUUUUUUUGCUUGAUCUUUACAUUGUAUGUUGUAUAUUGUCUUACAAAGCUGUACUUUUUCAACAUUGGUUACAUGGUUACACUACGAGUGUGCAGAAAGACUGUUAAAAUGAAUAGCUAAUACUUGUCUGAAACCAUGAAAUGCAUGGCAGGGUAUGUAAAGUUGUUAAUACAUCUGUUCAGUUCAGCAGACCAAGGCAGAUUUCCAAAAAUGUUUCCAUGUUGCCCAGACUACCAGAUGUGUUCUUUGCUUUUCACCAAGUUUUAUAACUUGGUGCUCCUUUUUUAAGAAAAAAAAAGAGAAAAGAAAAAAAAAAAGAAUUUAUUUGCAAAGAGUAUUUGUUUUUAAAAGCUUUUGUAAAUAAAGGCUUCUGAAUCAUUUUCUUACA